UACGUAGGGGGCAAGCGUUGUCCGGAUUUAUUGGGCGUAAAGAGCGUGUAGGCGGCUAGGUAGGUCCGUUGUGAAAACUCGAGGCUCAACCUCGAGACGUCGAUGGAAACCAUCUAGCUAGAGUCCGGAAGAGGAGAGUGGAAUUCCUGGUGUAGCGGUGGAAUGCGCAGAUAUCAGGAAGAACACCGACGGCGAAGGCAGCUCGCUGGGACGGUACUGACGCUGAGGCGCGAAAGCGUGGGGAGCGAACAGG
RNAcentral lists this ribosomal RNA (253 nucleotides) under uncultured bacterium. RNAcentral describes it as "partial 16S ribosomal RNA". It matches the Rfam family "Bacterial small subunit ribosomal RNA", at positions 524 to 776 of the family's 1533-position model. The record is from RNAcentral.